GGAAAGGGAGGUUGGGUCAUUGUAUAGGGACUUGUGGAAAGGAUGAGACCCUGCAGUCAGAUGAGGGACUGAAGCGGGUUUGUGGCAGGCGGGCAAAGGCUCGCGGACCGGAGAGGCGCUCGUUUUGUUGUGUCAGAGAAUGGGAGAAUGUCUCACCAUUCUGUCUGAGGUUCCAGGCUUUGAGAAUUUUAGACAGUGAGGUGAGUCCACAGCCCAGACAUGCAGCUGUCAAGCCCUGACUGCCCCAGCCCCUCUGCGUGCACUGUUGCAGGUA
Molecule: long non-coding RNA, 274 nt
Organism: Erinaceus europaeus (western European hedgehog)
Lineage: Eukaryota; Metazoa; Chordata; Mammalia; Eulipotyphla; Erinaceidae
Exons: 3
Source: RefSeq, a predicted model, not a curated record